RNAcentral lists this ribosomal RNA (253 nucleotides) under uncultured bacterium. RNAcentral's name for it is "partial 16S ribosomal RNA". It matches the Rfam family "Bacterial small subunit ribosomal RNA", at positions 524 to 776 of the family's 1533-position model. The record is from RNAcentral.
UACGUAGGGUGCGAGCGUUGUCCGGAAUUAUUGGGCGUAAAGAGCUUGUAGGUGGUUUGUCGCGUCUGCUGUGAAAAUCCGAGGCUCAACCUCGGACUUGCAGUGGGUACGGGCAGACUAGAGUGUGGUAGGGGAGACUGGAAUUCCUGGUGUAGCGGUGGAAUGCGCAGAUAUCAGGAGGAACACCAAUAGCGAAGGCAGCUCGCUGGGACGAAACUGACGCUAAGGCGCGAAAGCGUGGGGAGCGAACAGG